Molecule: non-coding RNA, 1106 nt
Organism: Heterocephalus glaber (naked mole-rat)
Lineage: Eukaryota; Metazoa; Chordata; Mammalia; Rodentia; Bathyergidae
Source: RefSeq, a predicted model, not a curated record
CUUUUUUCGUUGCUCUUUUCAUCUCCACAUUUCUCUUUGCAGUUUUCUAACCCCCUUUCCUCCGAAGUAACCCCUCUUCCAGGCCCUAGGAGGUUGCUAGGGCUGCUACGUGGCCUCCGCACCAGGCUACGGCCUGGGCCCCAGUGGGGGCCGCGCCGCCUCCUGCGCCCUCACCCUUCACCGCCGGACCCGCACCCUCCCUGCGGCCGGGCGCCCAGCGCAGAUUUCCAAGCCCACCGGUAGGGGGCGCUCUGAGGCAGCCAGCAGGGCCGGGCCUCCCUGACUGGCCAGUGACUGCUGUCCGGUUCCCUCUGCCUGCAGGGCAGGAAUCAACCCCCAGCCUAGUUCUGUGACUUCUGUAGGGUGGUGAUACCAAAAUACUCCACUUUUGGGGACUCCCCCCAUAGCAUUGUGAUUAGAACAGUAGAAGUAUCCUGUGUCCCUGAGCCACCCCAGGGGAGGGGCAGGAGGGACAGGAGUCAAUGGGGCAUUAUUGGAAAGAAAGGGGCGGCCCUGCUGCUGCUGAUUAGGGUCAGUUCUGUACAACAUACUCGUUGCUCCAGAGGAGAAAGACCGCAGCUCUGCCAGUGGCCCAUCAAGAAGUCAGGGAGGAGCCAGCCAACACUGUUGGACUGAGUUGAGACAUUCUGUCUGUGAGGUGCCGGUCUACCUACCUCAUCUUACAGGUUAGACCACUGAGGCUUAGAGAGAUGGAGAGAUCCACCUAUGGUCACACAGCAAGCCCAGAAAACAACCCAAGAUUUGACGCCCAGAGUCAGUACUAUACCUGCUUCCCUGUUGUUUGCGUCAAAGGUCAAGACCUUGGUAAUUUACUGAGGUGCAAGCUGUCAAGGGGGAGACACAACUCCAACAGCAUUCCUGGGACAUAAAGCAAUGAGGGCAGUAAAGCUCCUUCUCGGAGCAAUAAGGGGAUCGAACUCGGGACCUUGCGCUUGUGAAGCCAGCACCGGAACCACUGAGCCAAAUCCCCGGGCCUGGGAGGACACAUCUUGAGAAUUUUAGGAACCCUUAUGUUGUGAAUUCCCCUAGUGUAUACUGUGUCCCCAGUAAAACUGAUGUAGUGCUGAGAAAUGAGGGAGCAUUCU